UUCAGGAUCAACCAGGUAGCAUUCCUCAGGGACAUCGAGCCGCGGGACGUGGAACAUCCACGCGACAUCGAGCGUCUAUCGAAUGGGGCGUGUAAUGCCGAUUUGUGGGCAAAUAUGGAGGUCGGAGACCCCUUACCCGCAGUGUUUUCCGCAUCCCGAAAGUAUUGCUUCAAUCGUGGGCCGCGAAUGCAUAGCAUUUCGUAUGCAAAUCGGAACACGAAUUUCGCUUCGAGGCUCUCCCGCAGCCGCACCGUGUGAACGAGCAGCAUUAGAAGAGCUUCGUAAAGAUUGCCCGCACAAUUCCAUCGAUGAAGGUAUGCAGCACAGGAAACCAGCGACUCGGCCAAGGCAUAAAAUGCUCUUGUGCCAACAACUGAAAAUGAGAGCACGAAGGGACGUCCCUACCCGAGUAGGGAUCCAA
This 421-nucleotide unclassified non-coding RNA is filed under the name Psychotria sp. cd63. RNAcentral describes it as "partial external transcribed spacer". The record is from RNAcentral. Lineage: Eukaryota; Viridiplantae; Streptophyta; Magnoliopsida; Gentianales; Rubiaceae.